Molecule: non-coding RNA, 701 nt
Organism: Phalacrocorax carbo (great cormorant)
Lineage: Eukaryota; Metazoa; Chordata; Aves; Suliformes; Phalacrocoracidae
Source: RefSeq, a predicted model, not a curated record
CCAGACAAAAUUCCAGCAGCAGAAGCCACCCAAAGCAGCUGCCCUCCCCACAACUGCUCAUUCCAGCACAGCAAAGGAAGAGAGUCCACAGAGCUGCAAGGACAAGUCUCUCAAAAUGAGACCUGACUUCUGUGGCUUAUGCAAGAUCCAUUUAACUGUUGAUGAAGACAUGAAAUCAAUACUAAUUCUUAUCACUCUGCUUAAGUUGCAACAGAAGUCCAGGUAAACCAAAAAUUAACUUGGGACAGAUUUCUACUACAUAACAUGCAAUUUUUGUUCACUAAUGACUUUAUGCACUUUGGGGUGGGGGGGAAGCAUGCAUUGGACUGCUCUGAGCACCAGACCAUGUUCUGAGGGUGUGACUUGACGAGUAUGAGGAGCCCUCUCAAUUCAAAAUACCAAUUCCCUUGCUGAUGAUAUUUCUGAAAUUUUCACUUCAAGUGAAAUCUGCAUAUGCUUAAUUUGUUCCAAAAUACUGAGAUGGUCACAUCCUGACAGUGUCUAGCUGAAGAACUGUUCAUUCAUCUCCACAAAACAGUAUGACCCCCUCAGUAUUAUACUUUGACUGCAAAACCCAGAAUAAUUCAAAAUUUUCAUUGUGGUUCAUGUGUAACAAAAGGCAGAAUUGUACCAGAGCGUAACCUAAACGAUUCAGCAGGAAAUUUGGUUUUACUUACACUAUUAUUUUGUCCUGGAAGGGG